Molecule: non-coding RNA, 168 nt
Filed under: Lachnospiraceae bacterium
Lineage: Bacteria; Bacillati; Bacillota; Clostridia; Lachnospirales; Lachnospiraceae
Description: partial 6S RNA
Rfam family: 6S / SsrS RNA
About the family: E. coli 6S RNA was the first non coding RNA to be sequenced, but its function was unknown until recently. It consists of 184 nucleotides that fold into an extended hairpin structure with a large single-stranded internal bulge.
Source: RNAcentral
AACAUCCUGGGGUGUUCGUGAUCCCGUAUUUUUGAACCUACAUUCAUUAUAAGGGAUUCCAAUAUUUUUAGGUUAAUGUCAAGCCUCCGUCUGAGUGGAAGACAGCGGUCUAAGUGAGGUCACCCACCUAGCUAAAGCUAGGACUCAGAAAGAGGGAAGCGGCACUUU